This 370-nucleotide ribosomal RNA is filed under the name Physalaemus moreirae (Sorocaba dwarf frog). RNAcentral describes it as "partial 16S ribosomal RNA". It matches the Rfam family "Bacterial large subunit ribosomal RNA", at positions 1994 to 2515 of the family's 2925-position model. The record is from RNAcentral. Lineage: Eukaryota; Metazoa; Chordata; Amphibia; Anura; Leptodactylidae.
GAAUGGCAUCACGAGGGUUAAGCUGUCUCCCUUUUUUAAUCAGUGAAACUAAUCUCCCCGUGAAGAAGCGAGGAUAAAUUUAUAAGACGAGAAGACCCUAUGGAGCUUUAAACUAAGCAACAAUUGCUAUUAAAUUUAUUAUUCCAGAACAUAGCCCACAUCUUAACAAUAUGAUUGCUAGUUUUCGGUUGGGGUGACCGCGGAGUAUAAUUCAACCUCCACGAUGAAGGAAACUUUAUUUCUUAGCCCAGAGUUACAACUCUAAGCACCAAAAAUUUGACAUAAAUUGAUCCAAUCUGUUUGAUCAACGAACCAAGUUACCCUAGGGAUAACAGCGCAAUCCACUUCAAGAGCCCCUAUCGACAAGUGG